UACGGAGGGUGCGAGCGUUGUCCGGAAUCACUGGGCGUAAAGGGCGCGUAGGCGGUCUGUUAAGCGUGUGGUGAAAGCUCGGGGCUCAACCCCGAGUCUGCCAUGCGAACUGGUGGACUUGAGCACUGUAGAGGCAGGUGGAAUUCCGGGUGUAGCGGUGGAAUGCGUAGAGAUCGGGAAGAACACCAGUGGCGAAGGCGGCUACCUGGACGGGUACUGACGCUGAAGCGCGAAAGCUAGGGGAGCAAACAGG
RNAcentral lists this ribosomal RNA (253 nucleotides) under uncultured bacterium. Its description in RNAcentral is "partial 16S ribosomal RNA". It matches the Rfam family "Bacterial small subunit ribosomal RNA", at positions 524 to 776 of the family's 1533-position model. The record is from RNAcentral.